AUACGGAGGGUGCAAGCGUUGUUCGGAAUUAUUGGGCGUAAAGCGUUCGUAGCUGGACUCUUAAGUCUCCUGGGAAAUCCGCCGGCUCAACCGGCGGGCGUCCAGGAGAUACUGAGUGUCUAGGAACCGGAAGAGGUAAGAGGUACUUCGGGGGUAGGAGUGAAAUCCUGUAAUCCUCGAGGGACCACCGAUGGCGAAGGCAUCUUACCAGGACGGCUUCGACAGUGAGGAACGAAAGCUGGGGGAGCGAACCGGAUUAGAUACCCGGGUAGUCCCAGCCGUAAACGAUGCGCGUUAGGUGUACUGGUGACCACGAGUCACCUGGGUGCCGAAGGGAAACCGUGAAACGUGCCGCCUGGGAAGUACGGUCGCAAGGCUGAA
Molecule: ribosomal RNA, 381 nt
Filed under: uncultured bacterium
Lineage: Bacteria
Description: bacterial SSU rRNA
Rfam family: Archaeal small subunit ribosomal RNA
Source: RNAcentral